RNAcentral lists this ribosomal RNA (502 nucleotides) under uncultured bacterium. Its description in RNAcentral is "partial 16S ribosomal RNA". It matches the Rfam family "Bacterial small subunit ribosomal RNA", at positions 30 to 523 of the family's 1533-position model. The record is from RNAcentral.
AUUGAACGCUGGCGGAAUGCUUUACACAUGCAAGUCGAACGGCAGCACGGGAGCUUGCUCCUGGUGGCGAGUGGCGAACGGGUGAGUAAUAUAUCGGAACGUAUCCAAUAAUGGGGGAUAACCAAUCGAAAGGUUGGCUAAUACCGCAUACGCCCUACGGGGGAAAGCAGGGGAUCUUCGGACCUUGCGUUGAUGGAGCGGCCGAUAUCGGAUUAGCUAGUUGGUGGGGUAAAGGCCUACCAAGGCGACGAUACGUAGCUGGUCUGAGAGGACGACCAGCCACACUGGAACUGAGACACGGUCCAGACUCCUACGGGAGGCAGCAGUGGGGAAUUUUGGACAAUGGGGGCAACCCUGAUCCAGCCAUUCCGCGUGAGUGAAGAAGGCCUUCGGGUUGUAAAGCUCUUUCGCAAGGGAAGAAACGAUACUGGUGAAUAUCCAGUGUUAAUGACGGUACCUUGAUAAGAAGCACCGGCUAACUACGUGCCAGCAGCCGCCGUAA